RNAcentral lists this ribosomal RNA (701 nucleotides) under Bacillus sp. 2BL. RNAcentral's name for it is "bacterial SSU rRNA". It matches the Rfam family "Bacterial small subunit ribosomal RNA", at positions 35 to 716 of the family's 1533-position model. The record is from RNAcentral. Lineage: Bacteria; Bacillati; Bacillota; Bacilli; Caryophanales; Bacillaceae.
GCUGGCGGCGUGCCUAAUACAUGCAAGUCGAGCGAAUGGAUUAAGAGCUUGCUCUUAUGAAGUUAGCGGCGGACGGGUGAGUAACACGUGGGUAACCUGCCCAUAAGACUGGGAUAACUCCGGGAAACCGGGGCUAAUACCGGAUAACAUUUUGAACCGCAUGGUUCGAAAUUGAAAGGCGGCUUCGGCUGUCACUUAUGGAUGGACCCGCGUCGCAUUAGCUAGUUGGUGAGGUAACGGCUCACCAAGGCAACGAUGCGUAGCCGACCUGAGAGGGUGAUCGGCCACACUGGGACUGAGACACGGCCCAGACUCCUACGGGAGGCAGCAGUAGGGAAUCUUCCGCAAUGGACGAAAGUCUGACGGAGCAACGCCGCGUGAGUGAUGAAGGCUUUCGGGUCGUAAAACUCUGUUGUUAGGGAAGAACAAGUGCUAGUUGAAUAAGCUGGCACCUUGACGGUACCUAACCAGAAAGCCACGGCUAACUACGUGCCAGCAGCCGCGGUAAUACGUAGGUGGCAAGCGUUAUCCGGAAUUAUUGGGCGUAAAGCGCGCGCAGGUGGUUUCUUAAGUCUGAUGUGAAAGCCCACGGCUCAACCGUGGAGGGUCAUUGGAAACUGGGAGACUUGAGUGCAGAAGAGGAAAGUGGAAUUCCAUGUGUAGCGGUGAAAUGCGUAGAGAUAUGGAGGAACACCAGUGGC